Molecule: ribosomal RNA, 469 nt
Filed under: uncultured bacterium
Lineage: Bacteria
Description: partial 16S ribosomal RNA
Rfam family: Bacterial small subunit ribosomal RNA
Source: RNAcentral
GAUGAACGCUGGCGGCGUGCUUAACACAUGCAAGUCGAACGGUGAACACGGAGCUUGCUCUGUGGGAUCAGUGGCGAACGGGUGAGUAACACGUGAGCAACCUGCCCCUGACUCUGGGAUAAGCGCUGGAAACGGCGUCUAAUACUGGAUAUGUGACGUGACCGCACGGUCUGCGUUUGGAAAGAUUUUUCGGUUGGGGAUGGGCUCGCGGCCUAUCAGCUUGUUGGUGAGGUAAUGGCUCACCAAGGCGUCGACGGGUAGCCGGCCUGAGAGGGUGACCGGCCACACUGGGACUGAGACACGGCCCAGACUCCUACGGGAGGCAGCAGUGGGGAAUAUUGCACAAUGGGCGCAAGCCUGAUGCAGCAACGCCGCGUGAGGGAUGACGGCCUUCGGGUUGUAAACCUCUUUUAGCAGGGAAGAAGCGAAAGUGACGGUACCUGCAGAAAAAGCGCCGGCUAACUACGUG